CCUACGGGUGGCAGCAGUGAGGAAUAUUGGUCAAUGGGCGAGAGCCUGAACCAGCCAAGUCGCGUGAGGGAGUACUGCCCUAUGGGUUGUAAACCUCUUUUGUCGGGGAGCAAAAGCCGGACGUGUCCGGCUGUGAGAGUACCCGAAGAAAAAGCAUCGGCUACCUCCGUGCCAGCAGCCGCGGUAAUACGGAGGAUGCGAGCGUUAUCCGGAGUUAUUGGGUUAAAGGGGGGCGCAGGCGGAUUUUUAAGUCAGCGGUAAAAUCGUGGGGCUCAACCCCAUCCAGCCGGUGAAACUGGGGAUCUAGAGUGUGCGAGAGGUAUGCGGAAUGCGUGGUGUAGCGGUGAAAUGCAUAGAUAUCACGCAGAACCCCGAUUGCGAAGGCAGCAUACCGGUGCACAACUGACGCUCAGGCACGAAAGCGUGGGUAUCGAACAGGAGUAGAUACCCUAGUAGUC
Molecule: ribosomal RNA, 458 nt
Filed under: uncultured bacterium
Lineage: Bacteria
Description: partial 16S ribosomal RNA
Rfam family: Bacterial small subunit ribosomal RNA
Source: RNAcentral